AAGGAACAAGACAUUGAUAAAUAAAUUAACUAGCAUGAGUGUCUUUCCUCAGUCUGACCAUAGGUUCUUAGUAAACUAAGGUACCACAUCACCUAUCUAGACACCAAAAAAAACUACACAUGAUAUGGCAAAUUACUAGUCCAACAGCGACUGAAAAGCAACAAAAUUCAUGAAAACCAACUCGUUCUCUAAGCAACAAGAGUGCUGGCAGUUGUUGAUUCGCUGCAAAAGAGACAAG
Molecule: long non-coding RNA, 238 nt
Filed under: Trifolium pratense (red clover)
Lineage: Eukaryota; Viridiplantae; Streptophyta; Magnoliopsida; Fabales; Fabaceae
Description: long non-coding RNA (TPRA_LNC002622)
Source: RNAcentral